RNAcentral lists this non-coding RNA (30 nucleotides) under Rattus norvegicus (Norway rat). Lineage: Eukaryota; Metazoa; Chordata; Mammalia; Rodentia; Muridae. The record is from RNAcentral.
UAGGAGAGGCUUCGACUUACCUGGUACCUG